UACGGAGGGUGCAAGCGUUAAUCGGAAUUACUGGGCGUAAAGCGUGCGUAGGUGGUUCAUUAAGUUAUCUGUAAAAUCCCCGGGCUCAACCUGGGAAGGCCAGAUAAGACUGAUGGACUCGAGUAGUGGAGAGGGUAGUGGAAUUUCCGGUGUAGCGGUGAAAUGCGUAGAGAUCGGAAGGAACACCAGUGGCGAAGGCGGCUACCUGGCCUAAUACUGACACUGAGGCACGAAAGCGUGGGGAGCAAACAGG
RNAcentral lists this ribosomal RNA (253 nucleotides) under uncultured bacterium. RNAcentral describes it as "partial 16S ribosomal RNA". It matches the Rfam family "Bacterial small subunit ribosomal RNA", at positions 524 to 776 of the family's 1533-position model. The record is from RNAcentral.